GACGAACGCUGGCGGCGUGCUUAACACAUGCAAGUCGAACGGACAGGCCCUGCUUUUGUUGCGUGCUCGAGUGGCGAACGGGUGAGUAACCCGUGAGUAACCUGCCCUUGACUUUUGGAUAACUUCAGGAAACUGGGGCUAAUACCCGAUAGGAGCUCCUGCUGCAUGGUGUGGGUUGGAAAGUUUCGGCGUUUGGGGAUGGACUGCCGGCUUAUCAGCUUGUUGGUGGGGUAGUGGCUUACCAAGGCUUUGACGGGUAGCCGGCCUGAGAGGGUGACCGGGGACAUUGGGACUGAGAUAGGGCGCAGACGGCUACGGGCGGCAGCAGUGGGGAGUAUGGCACAAUGGGGGGAAGUGUGAUGCAGCAACGCCGGGUGCGGGAUGACGGCCUACGGGUGGUAAACAGCUUUCGCAUGUGACGAAGAGGGAGUGACGGUAACGGGUAAAGAAGCACCGGCUAACUACGUG
Molecule: ribosomal RNA, 468 nt
Filed under: uncultured bacterium
Lineage: Bacteria
Description: partial 16S ribosomal RNA
Rfam family: Bacterial small subunit ribosomal RNA
Source: RNAcentral